RNAcentral lists this ribosomal RNA (252 nucleotides) under uncultured bacterium. Its description in RNAcentral is "partial 16S ribosomal RNA". It matches the Rfam family "Bacterial small subunit ribosomal RNA", at positions 524 to 776 of the family's 1533-position model. The record is from RNAcentral.
UACGUAGGGGGCUAGCGUUGUCCGGAAUCAUUGGGCGUAAAGAGCGCGUAGGCGGCCAGAUAAGUCCGGUGUGAAAGUCAAAGGCUCAACCUUUGAAUGCCGCUGGAAACUGUCUGGCUAGAGUCCGGGAGGGGCGAGUGGAAUUCCUGGUGUAGCGGUGAAAUGCGCAGAUAUCAGGAGGAACACCAUGGCGAAGGCAGCUCGCUGGAACGGUACUGACGCUGAGGCGCGAAAGCGUGGGGAGCGAACAGG